AGGAACGUUUUGAGCUAAGCUCUAUUUCCAAGUGGGAACCAAUUUCAGUUUUUGUGUUAGCGGUUCCUUUUUGUGAGUUACACAAGGGCGAGAGUGUCUGAUUUUGAGCCACCGGGUGGCGACGUUUUUCCGUUUGAACAAGCAAGUGGUGAAGAACGCAAGAAAUGCUUAUUUUGUGUCCUUUCUGAUAGCAUUUUUGUUUAUUGUUGAAACCGGAGUUUGAAGACCUGUAUUGUCAGGAUUUACGUUUUUCUUCGUUUUCUCCCUCGAGCAAAUGCGGCAAUGAGGUAAUCCUUAGAUGUUAGCCAUGCUAUGUUAUGUUAGCAAGAACAUGACGAAUGUGUUUUAAGUGCAUGAGCAGAUUUAAGUUAUUUUGUGUGUAACGUUUAUUGUUCUCUGUGAGAACGUUUUAUGUUAAUAGUCUUUAUGUCUUUUAGUUCUCACGGCAUGUGUGUGGAGAAGUUGAAUAAAUGCCCGUUUUGAAGAACUGCUUGUACGCCUGAUUGACGAGGGAGCUACAGUGAGAACUCAGCCAGCCCGGCGCCAGAACAAGACGGUGUUCGGCAGAGCUACAAGCAAGUCACUUCACUCACCUCUUCCAUCGGACAGAUAAGAGACUGUACAUUCACCUGCCUACACAAAUAGCUACCUGAGUCCAGAGAGCUUUGGGUGCCAGUCAACAAUAAGUAAAACAUUUGAACAAGUUAAAUGUUUAAAGGUGGACUAGCCUCAAUUGCUGUAAAGGGACCUACAAGUGCUAAAUUGUGCAAUGUUAUGGUGAUGUGUGCAUGUUGUAAGGUUUAAGUGCGUGCUUAUUUGCACCUAGUAAUGUCUGAUUGAGGUGUGAACGACCAUUCAUAGCAUUUGAAAACAAGUUCAUUUGCGAACAUUCAAAGGUGUAGAACAACAUUUAAGUGAUUAAGUCAUUGCAAUGAAAAAUUAAGUUUAUUGUACAUUUAGUCAAUAUAUUAGACAGGUUGGUUGAUAAAGUAAAUUACAGGAGUCAGUAGUAAUUCAAGAUAGCCUACUGUAGUCAAGUGAUAAAACUAUAACAUCAUUACAUUAGUAAAUCAGAUAAAUACUGAGUUCAUGAGACUUCCUAAAAAUGGAUAGUGAGCAAGCAGAUAAAACUCUUAAGAGGGAGACUGAAAUAAGUGAAGGCAAACAACCUGCCCCAGAAGAUGCACUAAGAAGAAGUGAAAGAUCGAGAAGGCUCACUGAGAAGGGACAAGAACUCGAAGAGACUAAACUCAAAGGUCUCCAACAUCGUUUCUCACGUACCUAUGACAAGUGGAAGAUUCUUGCUAAGAAAUCAAGGAAGGAGAUAGAAGGAGCCUCUUCUCAAGAGAACCUACAAACUCUCAUCAACAAGAUAAAAGAAGCAUCAAAUGAUGUACAGCAGGCGUACGAAGACCUGCGCAAAUGCAUAAUCCCUGAUAAAGAGACACGCCGUCGAACAGACACCUGCGACACUGUCUCAAGGCAGAUAUUAGAGCAUGCUUGGAACCAUCUCCAAGACAAAGAUAACGAGCAAGAAAUAGAGUGGUUUGAGACUGGCUCUGUGUUCUCAUUAGGAGUAUCAGAAGCAUGCAGUGCAAGCUCAAGAUCAUCACUCUCAAGUAAAUCGUCAUGUAAAUCUUCAAAAAUAAGUGAAGCUGCAGCAGAAUUAGCCGCAAAUGAAGCCACUUUGGAAGUCCAAGAGCAAGUGGAGCGUGAGGAACGUGAACUCAGAAACCUAGAAGCUGAGUACAGACAAAGGCUUGUGCGACAAAAAAAGGAACGUGCACAAGAAGAAGAGCAAUGUAGACAAAGGCUUGCACAACAAGAAGAAGAAUGUGCUGCAAAUAAACAGGUCUUGGAAGAAAAGCGCAGAAAGAUAGAACGCUUAGAGACCAUAAAAAAGAUGAAUGCCGCCAAGGCCAAACUAGAAGUGUAUAAACAAGAACAAGGUUCAACCUCUGACUUGCUGGAUCUAUUCAAGGAUUAUAAGCCCAAACGAGAAAGGCUUACAUUCGACUCAAAACCUUCUGUCACGCCACAACUAAUCACAAGGAUGCAAUCUUCUAUAACUACUCCCAAAGAGGAUAGCACAACUGAUUUUGCCAAGGUAAUAGCAGAGUCCUUCAGUGUAAGCCGUCUCCCAGCACCAGAGCCUGCUGUUUUCAGUGGAGAUCCACUAAAGUACAAGGGCUGGGAAAUGUCCUUUCAAACGCUGAUAGGCAGAAAGAAUAUACCAGCGAACGAAAAAAUCUACUACCUACAAAAAUAUGUUGGUGGACCAGCAAGGAAAGCCAUUGAGGGAUACUUCCUUCUGGGAACAGAUGCAGCCUAUCAGACAGCGCUCGAUGUCCUGGAAAAAAGAUAUGGAAGCUCCUUUAUGGUUGCUAAGGCUUUCAGAGAUAAGCUGGCCUCAUGGCCAAACAUAGGACCCAAGGAAAGCAUUCAGCUACGAGAGUUCUCAGACUUCCUUCAAGGCUGUCAAGCAGCCAUGUCGCAAAUAAAGAGCCUGGAGGUCCUUAACGACUGUGGUGAAAACCGACGAAUGCUCUCCAAGCUCCCCGACUGGCUUACAGCAAGAUGGAACCGAAGGGUGACCAGGAUGGAAAAGGAAAAUGAGACUUUCCCCAGCUUCGAUCAGUUCGUGGAAUUCGUCACAGAGGAAGCCGAUAUAGCUUGUAAUCCGAUUACCUCCCUUCACGCUCUGAAGUCUGGAGAUGGUGGAAAGGAGAAGCCACAAAAAACACGAAGUGUUGGUGCUAAGGUGCUAGCAAGUAGCUCUGAAGAGAAAACAGAUGCUAAAGGAUGUGUAUUCUGUGAGAAGUCAAAUCAUGGCUUACAGACAUGUCGAAGGUUCUUGAAAGAGACAACUGCAGAACGGGUCAAGUUUGUGAAAACAAACAAGCUCUGUUUUGGAUGUUUGAAAUCAGGACAUCAGUCCAAGAACUGUGAGAAGAGAAGCAUUUGUGAGACAUGCAAAAGGAAGCAUCCAACAUGUCUACAUGAAAAUCGUCCAAGGGAAGAAGAUAGGAAAGAACAAGAGGACGGCGAAAGAAAGGAGAGUGGGAGACGCUUUAAGAAAAGGGAAGACUUAUCAGAGUCUGAAGAGAAAGAAGAGACACCAGUAGAGGCAACAGCUAACAGAGUGGUGCAAGACAAGAGGAGCACCUAUUCCUCCACAGUUGUUCCUGUAUGGCUGUCCACAGCAAGUAAUCCAGAGCAGGAAGUGCUCGUAUACGCUCUAUUGGACAACCAAAGCGACACCACCUUUAUCCUGCAAGAAACGGCAGACGUGUUAGUUACAAAGAAACAGCCUGUGCAAUUAAAGCUCUCCACGAUGUCAUCCAAAGAUACCGUCAUCCAGAGUCAGAAGUUAACUGGACUGCAGGUCAGAGGUUAUAAUGAGACAAGGAAAAUAUCUCUCCCAGUAACCUACACAAGAGAGUUUAUUCCUGCAAACCUAAGUCAUGUCCCAAUACCUGAGACAGCAAGAUCAUGGCCUCACCUAGAGCACCUUGCUGGAGAGAUCACUCCUUUAUGUGACUGUGAGAUUGGCCUGCUCAUAGGCUACAACUGUUCUCAGGCCCUGUUGCCCAGAGAAGUGGUGUCAGGAAAGGAUAAUGAGCCUUUUGCUCAACGAACAGACUUGGGCUGGAGUAUAGUUGGCUGUGUAGAUCCCUGCGUUGAUUAUGGAGAUGCAAUUGGAAGCAGCCACAGGAUCGUUGUGAAACAAGUGACUCCACACAUUGAGUCACAGGCUUAUCAACCAAGUGAAGUACGAUACAUAUAUCGAACACAAAUCAAGGAAGUUAUCACACCACCAGAAGUCAUUAAGGCACUCGAAUCAGACUUCAAUGAAAGAGUAGCCGAAGAUGCCCAUAUCUCACAGGAAGAUCUACGUUUUCUAUCCAUAAUGGAGGAAGGAAUCAAGACGAAGCCAGACGGACGUUGCGAAAUGCCUCUCCCAUUUAAAGAAGAAAGGCCAAGCCUGCCACAGAACAGAAUCUGUGCAGAUCACCGUCUCAAGUGUCUCAGGAAGAGAUUGGAGAGGGACGAGCAAUAUCGGAAGGACUACAAGACCUUCAUGAGUGAGAUGAUUGCACGCGGAGAUGCAGAGAAAGUCACAGAAGAACAACUUGACAAAGGCCCGUCCUGGUACAUUCCUCAUCACGGGGUGUAUCACCCUCAUAAACCUGGGAAGAUACGGGUCGUGUUCGACUGCUCAGCCAAGUACCAAGGCAUGUCACUGAAUGACCACCUGCUUACCGGACCGGAACUGACAAACACCUUGGUAGGCGUGCUCUGUCGCUUUCGCAAGGGUCCAGUAGCGAUCAUGUGUGAUGUGGAACGCAUGUUCCAUCAGUUUCAUGUCAGACCAGAGGACAGAGACUAUUUGAGGUUUCUGUGGUGGGAAGACGGCGACCUACAGUCAGAACCAGCGGUCUACCGCAUGAAAGUACACCUGUUUGGGGCGGCCUCAUCACCCGGCUGCGCAAACUAUGGCCUCAAACACAUCGCUGCACAAGGACAAGGUCACUUCAAAGAAACAUCCAUUAGAUUCAUAGAAAGAAACUUCUAUGUGGAUGAUGGACUAACAAGUGUGACAACCGAAGAAGAAGCAAUACAGUUAGUCGCUGAAGCAAGAGAAAUCUGCAGCAAUGGCAAGCUGCGAAUUCACAAGUUCAUCUCCAAUCGCCAGAAAGUACUUGCAUCGAUUCCCAAAGAAGAGUGUGCUGAAAUAGUACGUAAUCAAGAGUUAGCCAAAGGCGAGCCGCAGAUUGAGAGAGCUCUGGGUGUCGAGUGGUGUGUUGCCUCCGACCAGUUCCAAUUCAGAGUAGUGGUCAAAGAGCGUCCGCUCUCUAGAAGAGGAGUGUUGUCGAUGGUAGCCUCUAUUUUUGACCCACUCGGGUUUGUAGCACCUUUCAUUCUCGUUGGAAAACAAAUACUACAGCAGAUGUGCCGUGACAAGAUCGGAUGGGAUGAGCCUCUACCUGAUGAUUUACGGCCACAAUGGGAAUCUUGGUUCCUAGACCUACAGAACCUUGCUGACAUCAAGAUUCAACGAUGCUACCUACCAGACAGUUUCAAAGAGGUCCAAAGAUAUGAAAUUCAUCAUUUCUCAGAUGCAAGUGUCACAGGCUACGGAGAGUGUUCUUACCUGAGAGCAAUAGACACAUCCGGACAAAUCCACUGUUCCUUGGUCAUGGCCAAGGCAAGAGUUGCCCCCACGAAGUUAACUACAGUGCCAAGACUUGAGCUGUCCGCAGCUGUCGUUGCUGUGCGGACUAGCGACCUGCUGAAAAGGGAGUUGGAAAUAGAAGAUGCUCAGGAAAUCUUUUGGACAGACUCAAAGGUCGUGCUUGGAUAUGUCAACAACGACGCCAGAAGAUUUCAUGUAUUCGUGGCCAACCGCAUUCAGCGAAUCAAGAACAGUACCAAGCCCAGUCAAUGGAGAUAUGUGGCUUCAGAAGAAAACCCUGCAGACCACGCAUCAAGGGGUCUCAGGGCAAAGGAGCUCAUCGAGUCUAACUGGUUUACUGGCCCCGAAUUUCUCUGGCGUGAAGAACUUCCCAGCGGAGACAUCAAGGUGGGAGAGAUGUUAGCAGAAGACACUGAAGUUCGAAAGGCCUUCGUGGGCAAGACCUUGACGACGGAAGACUCACUGCUUGAUCGCUUCCAGAAGUUCUCCAGCUGGAUGAUGUUAGUCAAAGCCAUCGCUAGACUCAAACGACGUGUCAAAGAGCUCAAGGGUCUGACAGAAAGAAUCAAUGAAGCCACGAGUCUCGAAGAAAGAAAGGAAGCAGAAAUCACGAUCAUAGGCAUUGUCCAAAGAGAAACCUUAUCAAAGGAGAUACAAGGUCUUCAAACUAAGAAGGACAUAAGCAAGGACAACAGACUAUCCAAACUAAACCCUUACCUGGACCAGCAAGGUAUCCUAAGGGUGGGAGGUCGACUGGAACGUGCUGCACUGCAUCGACACAUCAAGCAUCCAGCAGUCUUGCCUAAGAACAGCCACAUAACAACACUACUGAUCCAGCACUACCACCAAAGGGUGCAGCAUCAAGGACGUGGCAUAACAAUGAACGAGCUACGAUCAAACGGAAUCUGGAUACUUGGAUGCAGUCAAGCGGUGUCAUCCUACAUCUACAAGUGUGUCAAGUGUAGAAAGUUCAGAAGGUGUACGGAGGACCAACGAAUGGCAGACUUACCCCAUGAACGGAUGGAGACCACUCCUCCCUUUACCUAUUGUGGGAUGGAUUGUUUUGGUCCUUUCUACGUCAAGGAAGGAAGAAAGGAGUUGAAGCGCUACGGUCUGCUACUCACCUGUUUGUGCUCUCGCGCCGUACACAUAGAGCUACUUGAUGACAUGACUACUGACGCUUUUAUCAAUGCGCUCCGCGCAUUCAUCGCUCUACGAGGAAAUGUUCGACAACUUCGAUCAGACCAAGGUACAAACUUUGUGGGUGCGAGACGCGAGUUCCUUGAAGCUGUAAAAGAGAUGGAUCAAGAGAGUCUAAAAGAACUUGGCUGUGAGUUUGUGAUGAACACUCCUUCUGCAAGCCACAUGGGCGGCGCCUGGGAAAGGCACAUCAGGACCAUUAGGAGUGUGCUGACAUCCAUCCUGGAUCAGUCUUCUCGAAGACUGGAUAGCUCAUCUUUGAGGACUUACCUGUACGAGGUAAUGGCAAUCAUAAACAGCAGACCUCUAACUACUCACCUUCUCAAUGAUCCCACAGGGCCACAGCCUCUAACGCCUAAUCACAUUUUGACGAUGAAAUCCUCGAUAGUCCUGUCUCCUCCUGGAAAGUUUGUGAAGGAAGACCUGUACUUACGGAAAAGAUGGCGUAGAGUGCAAUACUUAACUGAAGAAUUCUGGUCCCGAUGGAAGAAAGAGUACCUGUUGAACCUACAACAAAGAGAAAAAUGGAACAAGACGAAGAGAAAUGCAAGGAUCAAUGACAUAGUGAUUAUAAAGGAUGAAAAUACACCAAGAAAUGAAUGGAAGCUGGCUAAGGUCACACAAGUGUACCCAAGUGAAGAUGGUCAUGUGAGGAAGAUACAGUUAUUGAUCAGCAACUCAGAACUAAGUGACACUGGAAAACGAGUCAACAAGCAAACCUACCUGGAGAGACCUAUACAUAAGACUGUGACCUUGCUUGAAGCAGAAUGAGAGCCUCCAGUCUACCCUCUCUAGAGCCCCUCCCUAGCGCCAGCUAGCUUAUGACCUAAUCCUUAGUUAUAGUUACCUUAAUUAUACUUACCUCAGUUAUACUUGCCCUUUUUCUCUUAGUUCUACUCAUUUCAGAUAGUUGAAGGAAAUCACAAGUGAUUUGGUGGGAGUGUAGCUGCCAUAAGAAAAUGCACUGUAAGGAACGUUUUGAGCUAAGCUCUAUUUCCAAGUGGGAACCAAUUUCAGUUUUUGUGUUAGCGGUUCCUUUUUGUGAGUUACACAAGGGCGAGAGUGUCUGAUUUUGAGCCACCGGGUGGCGACGUUUUUCCGUUUGAACAAGCAAGUGGUGAAGAACGCAAGAAAUGCUUAUUUUGUGUCCUUUCUGAUAGCAUUUUUGUUUAUUGUUGAAACCGGAGUUUGAAGACCUGUAUUGUCAGGAUUUACGUUUUUCUUCGUUUUCUCCCUCGAGCAAAUGCGGCAAUGAGUUCUCACGGCAUGUGUGUGGAGAAGUUGAAUAAAUGCCCGUUUUGAAGAA
Syngnathus typhle (broad-nosed pipefish) is the source of this 7703-nucleotide RNA transcript. RefSeq lists it as uncharacterized. The transcript has 2 exons. The record is from RefSeq and is a predicted model, not a curated record. Lineage: Eukaryota; Metazoa; Chordata; Actinopteri; Syngnathiformes; Syngnathidae.